GAAUGUCAAGUCAGCAUGACCUUUAUAUCCAGGCUACACACACGCUACAAUGGUCUGUACAAUGGGUAGCCAAGCCGCGAGGCGGAGCCAAUCCUGAAAGCAGGCCUCAGUUCAGAUUGCAGUCUGCAACUCGACUGCAUGAAGCCGGAGUUGCUAGUAACCGCAGGUCAGCAAUACUGCGGUGAAUACGUUCUCGGGUCUU
RNAcentral lists this ribosomal RNA (202 nucleotides) under uncultured Anaerolineaceae bacterium. RNAcentral describes it as "partial 16S ribosomal RNA". It matches the Rfam family "Bacterial small subunit ribosomal RNA", at positions 1180 to 1382 of the family's 1533-position model. Lineage: Bacteria; Bacillati; Chloroflexota; Anaerolineae; Anaerolineales; Anaerolineaceae. The record is from RNAcentral.